AAAACUUCUCAAACAAUACACAGGGGGCCUCUUUCAAGUCAUACAAUGAUCGCUUCAAUCUAUAUACAUUAGACGUAGAAGGGAAAAAAAAUCCAGAAGGUGGGAUUAUAUAAAUGUCCUCCUUGAGAUCACCAUGAAUUUUUUUAUUUUUUCUUUGACAUCCAUCUAGUGAAAUGGCCAACCCUAUGAAGUAGAAAUUGAAAUAAGGGUACGUACAAUAGUCAUUUUUGCCAUGGGGAAAUGUCUUCUCAUAGUCCACCCCAUAGUACUGUCGAUUCCAUAGGGCAACCACCAGUCUUGUAAAAAUAUACAUUCAGAAUGAAGUUUAACUGAGUAAACCAAUUUAAAAGCAAUAUGCUUAGCUGUAGAUAGACAUAAGACAAGAUCCCAUGUUUGAUUUUCCUAAAGAGCUCAAAGUUCUUCUCGUAUUUGCUAUCGACGCUCAUGUUUAAUAGCCUGUGAGUAAUAAGACGGAAUCGUAAUAGAAGACAACAUAAUGAGAAAUGAUGUAUAAAAAUCAUACCA
RNAcentral lists this long non-coding RNA (525 nucleotides) under Olea europaea subsp. europaea. Lineage: Eukaryota; Viridiplantae; Streptophyta; Magnoliopsida; Lamiales; Oleaceae. The record is from RNAcentral.